RNAcentral lists this long non-coding RNA (1537 nucleotides) under Brassica napus (rape). Its description in RNAcentral is "long non-coding RNA (BNAP_LNC014178)". Lineage: Eukaryota; Viridiplantae; Streptophyta; Magnoliopsida; Brassicales; Brassicaceae. The record is from RNAcentral.
UCCCCUAAAGACUGUGUAACUCAACAUGCAUUAUAUCUCGUGUAUAGAAGAAAACAUGAGCCACAAUAUAGUUACAAUAAAGCCUUUUUCCCAAUCUUAAACACUCUCGCAGUGAUGUUACUCUGAAACAGUAGAGCUAAGUAAGUGUGUAUGGAAGAAGGUCAAAAAGAAGAAAUAUAGUAACAAUGAGCAUCAUUAGUCACUCAGGCAGUCUGAGACGGUUGAAAACGACCAUGAAGCUCUUCUCAGGACCAAUAUAUAGAAAUCCAAGAUCCCCACCCGUCACAUAUGGUCCCAUUCCCUGUCAGCCAAACCCCAAAACCAUCAACUUGUAACACAAAUAACUAAUGGGGUUUAGCUCUACUGUGUAUUUACCUUUCCGUUGAGUUUUAAAAGCUGCCCUCCGACCCAUCUUGGGUUUUUAAACCCAAAGUCUGCUAUUCUUCCUUCUCCCAUGUAACUCGCAAGCUGUGUAUACACGUAAACAUCUCUCUAGAUAAGCUUUCGAUUCAAAUGUCAACAUGGUUAAACCAUAGUGUGUCUUAAGCUAUUGUUUAAAUAGGAAAAAGUCUGAGACUCUUGCUCUGGUUACAUGUUUGACUUAUGCAUGGUUUGAGCAGUGAGCACACAUUUGUUUUGGGUCAGUUUCUGUAGUUUUCCUAAAACUGUAGCUCAAGAGAUGAGUAAAGUGUCAUUACCACUCCCAUUUCCUCUGGGUACAUUCCUCGAUCCCUCAUGCGACUCCCCUUCCCAAUCCUUGCACGAAAUGUCACCUACCAAGAAAUUUUUUUUUUUUUUGCGAGACUGUUAUCAAUCUUUGUUUCAACUUUUUCGGUGGGAUGUCCAAAGAGGGAAUAGAUAGAGAGAGAAUAUAUAUAUGAUUCUGUUCCUUGCUCCUCUCUAAUGCCGCCAUGCUCUUCGAUAUUGCGCAGUCAUUUCGUUCUCACCGGUACAUUAAAAAAACUGUUAUCUUUUACUUCAAAUUCAGUUUACAAGUUCACCUAAAUUGUAGGAGAAAAAGAACAUGUCAAAUACAUACACGAACACCUCAUCAAAAGAUUAUUAUUUACAGCAGUAUUCAAAAAUGCAAAUAUUGUUCCUUUUCAAUCGAUUGGCACCACAAACUUUAGAAAACUCUCAUGAGUUGUACAGAUUGGAUCGAGUCUAUUUUCGGUUUCAUUAAGCUCCCCUAAAGACUGUGUAACUCAACAUGCAUUAUAUCUCGUGUAUAGAAGAAAACAUGAGCCACAAUAUAGUUACAAUAAAGCCUUUUUCCCAAUCUUAAACACUCUCGCAGUGAUGUUACUCUGAAACAGUAGAGCUAAGUAAGUGUGUAUGGAAGAAGGUCAAAAAGAAGAAAUAUAGUAACAAUGAGCAUCAUUAGUCACUCAGGCAGUCUGAGACGGUUGAAAACGACCAUGAAGCUCUUCUCAGGACCAAUAUAUAGAAAUCCAAGAUCCCCACCCGUCACAUAUGGUCCCAUUCCCUGUCAGCCAAACCCCAAAACCAUCAACUUGUAACACAAAUAACUAAUGGG